This 497-nucleotide ribosomal RNA is filed under the name uncultured bacterium. Its description in RNAcentral is "partial 16S ribosomal RNA". It matches the Rfam family "Bacterial small subunit ribosomal RNA", at positions 28 to 507 of the family's 1533-position model. The record is from RNAcentral.
GAUGAACGCUGGCGGCGUGCCUAAUACAUGCAAGUCGAGCGAACAGACGAGGAGCUUGCUCCUCUGACGUUAGCGGCGGACGGGUGAGUUACACGUGGAUAACCUACCUAUAAGACUGGGAUAACUUCGGGAAACCGGAGCUAAUACCGGAUAACAUGUUGAACCGCAUGGUUCAACAGUGAAAGACGGUUUUGCUGUCACUUAUAGAUGGAUCCGCGCCGCAUUAGCUAGUUGGUAAGGUAACGGCUUACCAAGGCAACGAUGCGUAGCCGACCUGAGAGGGUGAUCGGCCACACUGGAACUGAGACACGGUCCAGACUCCUACGGGAGGCAGCAGUAGGGAAUCUUCCGCAAUGGGCGAAAGCCUGACGGAGCAACGCCGCGUGAGUGAAGAAGGUCUUCGGAUCGUAAAACUCUGUUAUUAGGGAAGAACAAAUGUGUAAGUAACUAUGCACGUCUUGACGGUACCUAAUCAGAAAGCCACGGCUAACUACGUG